GCAGCGGCAAAAUCCGUUGUCGGGAUUGGUCUCCCGCACCGAAAUGAGCACAACACGCGCUCGCGUGUUUUUU
This 73-nucleotide small RNA is filed under the name Aeromonas salmonicida subsp. smithia. Its description in RNAcentral is "isrK". It matches the Rfam family "isrK Hfq binding RNA". Lineage: Bacteria; Pseudomonadati; Pseudomonadota; Gammaproteobacteria; Aeromonadales; Aeromonadaceae. The record is from RNAcentral.